GCUCCUCGGCAGCGGGAACGCUGGGGCGACG
This 31-nucleotide small RNA is filed under the name Bombyx mori (domestic silkworm). RNAcentral describes it as "ovarian small RNA-17074". The record is from RNAcentral. Lineage: Eukaryota; Metazoa; Arthropoda; Insecta; Lepidoptera; Bombycidae.